UUUUUGGUAAGAUGACCACCUCGAUGUGACUCCGACGUGGGGAAUAUGAAAAAGAGACGGUUGCUGUUAAGCGCUUACUGCCUGCCUCCUCACGGUAGCCCACCCUACCUCACUAGAAAAACUGCAGUUUCAGAACUUGAGCCCAGUUUAAAUUUUAUUUUUCUAUCUCCUUCAAGACCAAUACACUUGGGCAAUUCUCUGUCAGGAGUGAACUGGCCUUUUCACCUGUGAAUGGACUCCUUCUUUUCACUUGUAAAUUGUGCUUCCUCCUGCAGACCUCCGCUCUCAAGGAGGCAGCAAUAUCAGUGGGGAGCGCCUCUCAAUUUGAAACUCAUUUAAACAUGUAACAGAUGAAAAACAUUAGCAGUCUUUCAAGAUUUCCAAAAAGAGAGAAAAUUUAAUCUUCACACCUAUGUGGGUACACCAAGGAGCUGUGCCAUUAUGCGCGGUUACUUCAUGUACAUGUCAUAGGUAGCCUCCCCAUCUAUCACUGAGUGAUAGGUUCUGCUCUCUGAUUUCAUCUACUUCUCAAAAUGGUACUGUUAUCACAGUAAGCUCCUAUAGUUUUUCCAGAGACUUCUACAAAAACUAUUCAGCAUUCCUCACAUAUGAGCAAAUGGCCUGUGCAUUUGAAGAGUUUCACAGGAAUAAAGACUGAACUGAUACCUGGACACAAAGUUGAAGACUGUAUUUCUCAGUUAAUAAGGCGGAAUGCUGGUUACGUUUUAGGCAAACGGAUGGAAAAUGCUGCGAUGAUGGUCGUCUGUGCCCACUGGGAAGUGGAUGCCAAGAUGGAAUUAGAAAUGAAAGUGGAAUUAAGUGGAUGACUAAAACUCAUAAAGGGUGCAGAGAGCAGAAAAACCUGGGGAAAGCCUUCAGACUAUGACGCAGGUCCUACACAUGUCGGGGGGCAGAGGAUGGAGCAUCAGACCACAGACUUAUAUGUAGAGCAACUCAAAGGAAUUCUCAUCCAGGGCACGGGAACUGCAAGCAAAGAUGGUCAUUUAAAUAGCUCCAUUUGGGUAGGAGCAGCCUUGAUCUAGGGCCUAUUAUGCAGCUACUCACCAGGAGCUACUUGUGGGUAACCUGACCCCAGUGUGAAUACAGAGGCUGUCAGCUAACUAGAACAUCCUCCCAGGACCUCUACACAUGAGAUUACAUUAAUAAUGUAUGCGCA
Long non-coding RNA from Chinchilla lanigera (long-tailed chinchilla), 1177 nucleotides. RefSeq lists it as uncharacterized. The record is from RefSeq and is a predicted model, not a curated record. NCBI's taxonomy places the organism in Eukaryota, Metazoa, Chordata, Mammalia, Rodentia, Chinchillidae. The transcript is spliced from 6 exons.